AGCGAACGCUGGCGGCAGGCUUAACACAUGCAAGUCGAGCGGGCAUCCUUGUGGUGUCAGCGGCAGACGGGUGAGUAACGCGUGGGAACGUGCCCUUUGUUUCGGAAUAACUCAGGGAAACUUGAGCUAAUACCGGAUACGUCCGAGAGCAGAAAGGUUUAUCUGCCGAAGGAUCGGCCCGCGUCGGAUUAGCUAGUUGGUGAGGUUACGGCGCACCAAGGCGACGAUCAGUAGCUGGUCUGAGAGGAUGAUCAGCCACACUGGGACUGAGACGCGGCCCAGACUCCUACGGGAGGCAGCAGUGGGGAAUAUUGGACAAUGGGGGCAACCCUGAUCCAGCCAUGCCGCGUGAGUGAUGACGGCCUUAGGGUUGUAAAGCUCUUUUCUCCGGGACGAUAAUGACGGUACCGGAGGAAUAAGCCCCGGCUAACUUCGUG
This 437-nucleotide ribosomal RNA is filed under the name uncultured bacterium. RNAcentral describes it as "partial 16S ribosomal RNA". It matches the Rfam family "Bacterial small subunit ribosomal RNA", at positions 29 to 507 of the family's 1533-position model. The record is from RNAcentral.